CUGGCCUACGGGAGGCAGCAGUGGGGUAUUUUGGACAAUGGGCGCAAGCCUGAUCCAGCUAUUCCGCGUGUGGGAUGAAGGCCCCCGGGUUGUAAACCACUUUUGUAGAGAACGAAAAGACACCUUCGCAUAAAGGGUGUUGCUGACGGUACUCUGAGAAUAAGCACCGGCUAACUACGUGCCAGCAGCCGCGGUAAUACGUAGGGGGCGUGAGUUAAUCGGAAUUACUGGGCGUAACGGGUGCGCAGGCGGUUGAGUAAGACAG
This 265-nucleotide ribosomal RNA is filed under the name uncultured bacterium. Its description in RNAcentral is "partial 16S ribosomal RNA". It matches the Rfam family "Bacterial small subunit ribosomal RNA", at positions 335 to 591 of the family's 1533-position model. The record is from RNAcentral.